AUACGUAGGGUGCAAGCGUUAAUCGGAAUUACUGGGCGUAAAGCGUGCGCAGGCGGUUUUGUAAGACAGUGGUGAAAUCCCCGGGCUCAACCUGGGAAAUGCCAUUGUGAAUGCAAGGCUGGGGUGCGGCCGAGGGGGAUGGAAUUCCGCGUGUAGAAGUGAAAUGCGUAGAUAUGCGGAGGAACACCGAGGGCGAACGCAAUCCCCUGGUACUGCACUGACGCUCAUCCACGAUAGCGUGGUGAGCAAACAGGAUUAGAUAUCCUGGUAGUCCGCGCCCUAAACGAUGUCAACUGGUUGUUGGGUUUUCAGUGACUCAGUAACGAAGCUCACACGUGAAGUUGACCGCCUGGGGAGUACGGCCGCAAGGUUGAAACGCAAAGUAAUUGCCUGUG
RNAcentral lists this ribosomal RNA (395 nucleotides) under uncultured bacterium. Its description in RNAcentral is "partial 16S ribosomal RNA". It matches the Rfam family "Bacterial small subunit ribosomal RNA", at positions 523 to 918 of the family's 1533-position model. The record is from RNAcentral.